CGGCGAAACCUCCGAAGGGAGGUCGUCGCGGGGUGGCGCCCGCGGCCUGACGAGCCAGCCACCA
Molecule: non-coding RNA, 64 nt
Filed under: Streptomyces cinnamoneus
Lineage: Bacteria; Bacillati; Actinomycetota; Actinomycetes; Kitasatosporales; Streptomycetaceae
Source: RNAcentral